UCGAUAAGAUUACCGCCCUAGUUCUAACCCUAAACGAUGCCAACCAUCAAUCCGCGCGUAGCACCCUUCUUAACGGGCUCGGCGGGCAGCUCCUCACUCACGGGAAACCAGAGUCUCUGGGUUCCGGGGGGAGUCUGGUUGCAAAGCUGAAACUUAAAGGAAUUGACGGAAAGGCACCACCAGGCGUGGAGCCUGCGGCUUAAUUUGACUCAACACGGGCCAUCUCACCAGGCCAGCACUCUUGUACGAUUGACAGAUUGAGAGCUCUUUCUCGAUUUAGUGGAUGGUGGUGCAUGGCCGUUCUUAGUUGGUGGAGUGAUCUGUCUGGUUAAUUCCGAUAACGAACGAGACAUAAUUCCGAUAACGAACGAGACUCUCCCCUGCUAAAUAGUCGGUUGGAUCUUGAUAUUUGUAUCGGUUGAGUCGUGUACCGAGACUACCGGUCGUGUUGUGCGCGCACUGCGCUUUCUUGUUGGGGUUCUGUGGUGGAGAUUUUGUGUGGUUAGCUUGCAUAUGUGUGUGUGUUUCGGCACGUGCGUGUGUGUUCGCGCCCGCUUUCUUUGCUGCUCCUCGAUGGGGGCCAGUGUCGUGUGUGAUCUUCUGGCCUCGGACCACACACUCCAAGUCCGCCGCUUAUGCUUAAAACUCUUCUUAGAGGGAUUCACGGUACUGAAGCCGUAAGAGACUGAGAGCAAUAACAGGUCUGUGAUGCCCUUAGAUGUUCUGGGCCGCACGCGCGCUACAAUGCCGGGCACAGCAGGUGUUCUUCCUACUCCGACAGGAGCGGGUAACCCUGUGAAAGCCCUUUCUUAUGGUUUCAAGUUGUGUGGCAUGUGGCUCACGUCGCAUGUCCGCAACGUAUGGCGUGAUUGGGCCUGGGUCUUGCAAUUCUUUCCCACAAACGAGGAAUGCCUUGUAGCGGCGGGUCACUGAGCCCGCCGUGACUCAGUCCCUGCCCUUUGUAUCA
RNAcentral lists this ribosomal RNA (967 nucleotides) under Stephonyx biscayensis. RNAcentral's name for it is "bacterial SSU rRNA". It matches the Rfam family "Eukaryotic small subunit ribosomal RNA", at positions 1004 to 1666 of the family's 1831-position model. Lineage: Eukaryota; Metazoa; Arthropoda; Malacostraca; Amphipoda; Uristidae. The record is from RNAcentral.